RNAcentral lists this ribosomal RNA (377 nucleotides) under uncultured bacterium. Its description in RNAcentral is "bacterial SSU rRNA". It matches the Rfam family "Bacterial small subunit ribosomal RNA", at positions 523 to 898 of the family's 1533-position model. The record is from RNAcentral.
AUACGUAGGGGGCGAGCGUUGUCCGGAAUUAUUGGGCGUAAAGGGCGCGCAGGCGGUCGAUUAAGUCGGAUGUGAAAGGCCACGGCUCAACCGUGGAGUUGCAUCCGAAACUGGUUGGCUUGAGUGCAGGAGAGGAGAGCGGAAUUCCCGGUGUAGCGGUGAAAUGCGUAGAGAUCGGGAGGAACACCAGUGGCGAAGGCGGCUCUCUGGCCUGUUACUGACGCUGAGGCGCGAAAGCGUGGGUAGCGAACAGGAUUAGAUACCCUGGUAGUCCACGCCGUAAACGAUGAGUGCUAGGUGUUGGGGGCUUUCAUGCCCUCUGUGCCGAAGGCAACCCAAUAAGCACUCCGCCUGGGGAGUACGGCCGCAAGGCUGAA